CCUACGGGAGGCAGCAGUGGGGAAUAUUAGACAAUGGGGGCAACCCUGAUCCAGCCAUGCCGCGUGUGUGAAGAAGGCCCUCGGGUUGUAAAGCACUUUCAGUGAGGAAGAACGCCUGGUGGUUAAUACCCAUCAGGAAAGACAUCACUCACAGAAGAAGCACCGGCUAACUCCGUGCCAGCAGCCGCGGUAAUACGGAGGGUGCGAGCGUUAAUCGGAAUUACUGGGCGUAAAGCGCGCGUAGGUGGCUUGAUAAGCCGGUUGUGAAAGCCCCGGGCUCAACCUGGGAACGGCAUCCGGAACUGUCAAGCUAGAGUGCAGGAGAGGAAGGUAGAAUUCCCGGUGUAGCGGUGAAAUGCGUAGAGAUCGGGAGGAAUACCAGUGGCGAAGGCGGCCUUCUGGACUGACACUGACACUGAGGUGCGAAAGCGUGGGUAGCAAACAGGAUUAGAUACCCCGGUAGUC
This 465-nucleotide ribosomal RNA is filed under the name Vreelandella stevensii. Its description in RNAcentral is "partial 16S ribosomal RNA". It matches the Rfam family "Bacterial small subunit ribosomal RNA", at positions 338 to 795 of the family's 1533-position model. Lineage: Bacteria; Pseudomonadati; Pseudomonadota; Gammaproteobacteria; Oceanospirillales; Halomonadaceae. The record is from RNAcentral.